GGUACAAAGAGCAGUUGCUUUGGAGAUGAUACACUGUCUCAUCUCGUCUUAUUGGUGUAAACUGGCAGGUUUUAGA
Molecule: long non-coding RNA, 76 nt
Organism: Etheostoma spectabile (orangethroat darter)
Lineage: Eukaryota; Metazoa; Chordata; Actinopteri; Perciformes; Percidae
Exons: 3
Source: RefSeq, a predicted model, not a curated record